GGGGCUGAAUUUUAAGCUCGACGUUGGACUUUAUCGGUUAGAUCAGCAGGUCGCUUGUCAGCGUAUAGACAAACUAUAUAGAUGCAAAAACACCUAUUAGCGAACUUUCAAAGUCAUUCGUAGACAGCCUCAAAACUGCCUUCGUUGGCCGCGAACUCGCACCAGCUUACGCCUAAAAAUGUAAGCAACGGCGUACGAUGACUCCGGAUGGUCGUGCACGUUUUAUAUCCUCUGGAUGCUCGCGUCAAAUUGUCCGCUUGCUGCGCUAAGACCAGGAUUGCUCGCUUGAGAUGUUUGUUUGUUUAAAUACUCAUGCGCUAAGACAGCAAAACAAACUAUGCCUGUAGACGACUAACCAAGAUAAACUAGCGGACGCGGGGGCAGUACCCGCCAGCUCCUCCA
RNAcentral lists this transfer-messenger RNA (402 nucleotides) under Patescibacteria group bacterium. It matches the Rfam family "transfer-messenger RNA". Rfam says of the family: Bacterial tmRNA, also known as 10Sa RNA or SsrA, is named for its dual tRNA and mRNA-like properties. The record is from RNAcentral.